GCCGGCUCCCGGCGCCCACAGGUCCCGGCCUCCCCUUCCCCUGGGCCUCCAAAUCCACAGGCUUAGCCCCCGGGGCCCUCAUAUCCGGGCCUCCCCUUCCCCUGGGCCUCCAAACCCUCAGAGCCGGCUCCCGGGGCCCACAGGUCCCGGCCUCCCCUUCCCCUUUGCCUCCAAACCCACAGGCUUAGCCCCCGGGGACCUCAGAUCCGGGCCUCCCCUUCCCCUGGGCCUCCAAAUCCUCAGAGCCGGCUCCCGGCGCCCACACGUCCCGGCCUCCCCUUCCCCUGGUCCUCCAAACCCACAAGUUUGGCCCCCGGGCCCUCAGAUCUGGGCCUCCCCUUCUCCUGGGCCUCCAAACCCACAGGUUUGGCCCCCGGGCCCUCAGAUCUGGGCCUCCCCUUCCCCUGGGCCUCCAAACCCUCAGAGCCGGCUCCCGGGGCCCACAGGUCCCGGCCUCCCCUUCCCCUGGGCCUCCAAACCCUCAGAGCCGGCUCCCGGGGCCCACAGGUCCCGGCCUCCCCUUCCCCUGGGCCUCCAAACCCUCAGAGCCGGCUCCCGGGGCCCACAGGUCCCAGCCUCCCAUUCCCCUGGGCCUCCAAAUCUUCACGUUUGGUCCCCAGGCCCACAGAUCCGGGCCUCCCCUUCCCCUGGGCCUCCAAACCCACAGGUUUGGCCCCCGGGCCCUCAGAUCUGGGCCUCCAAACCCACAGGUUUGGCCCCCGGGCUCUCAGGUCCCGGCCUCCCCUUCCCCUGGGCCUCCAAAACCUCAGAGCCGGCUCCCGGGGCCCACAGGUCCCGGCCUCCCCUUCCCCUGGGCCUCCAAACCCACAGGCUUAGCCCCCGGGGCCCUCAGAUCCGGGCCUCCCCUUCCCCUGGGCCUCCAAACCCUCAGAGCCAGCUCCCGGGGCCCACAGGUCCCAGCCUCCCCUUCCCCUGGGCCUCCAAACCCUCAGAGCCGGCUCCCGGGGCCCACAGGUCCCGACCUCCCCUUCCCUUUGGCCUCCAAACCCACAGGCUUAGCCCCCGGGGCCCUCAGAUCUGGGCCUCCCCUUCUCCUGGGCCUCCAAACCCUCAGAGCUGGCUCCCUGUGCCCACAGGUCCCGACCUCCCCUUCCCCUGGGCCUCCAAACCCACAGGUUUGGCCCCCGGCCCCUCAGAUCUGGGCCUCCUCUUCCCCUGGGCCUCCAAACCCACAGGUUUGGCCCCCGGGCCCUCAGAUCUGGGCCUCCAAACCCAUAGGUUUGGCCCCCGGGCCCUCAGAUCCGGGCCUCCCCUUCCCCUGGGCCUCCAAACCCUCAGAUCCGGCUCCCGCGGCCCACAGGUCCCAGCCUCCCCUUCCCCUGGACCUCCAAACCCUCAGAGCUGGCUCCUGGGGCCCUCAGAUCCGGGCCUCCUCUUCCCCUGGGCCUCCAAACCCACAGGUUUGGCCCCCGGCUCCUCAGAUCUGGACCUCCCCUUACCCUGGGCCUCCAAACCCUCAGAGCCUGCUCCCGGGGCCCACAGGUCCCAGCCUCCCAUUCCCCUGGGCCUCCAAAUCCUCAGUUUUGGUCCCCGGCACCUCAGGUCUGGGCCUUCCCUUUCCCUAGGCCUCCAAACCCUCAGGUCUGGUCCCCAGGUCCACAGAUCUGGGCCUCCCCUUCCCCUGGGCCUCCAUACCCUCAGGUUUGGCCCCCGGGCCCUCAGAUAUGGGCCUCCCCUUCCCCUGGGCCUCCAAACCCACAGGCUUAGCCCCCGGGGCCCUCAGAUCCGGGCCUCCCCUUCCCCUGGGACUCCAAACCCUCAGAGCCAGCUCCCGGGGCCCACAGGUCCCAGCCUCCCCUUCCCCUGGGCCUCCAAACCCUCAGAGCCGGCUCCCGGGGCCCACAGGUCCCAGCCUCCCCUUCCCCUGGGCCUCCAAACCCUCAGAGCCGGCUCCCGGGGCCCACAGGUCCCGACCUCCCCUUCCCCUUGGCCUCCAAACCCACAGUAUUGGCCUCCGGGCCCUCAGAGCCGGGCCUCCCCUUCCCCUGGGCCUCCAAACCCUCAGAGCUAGAUCCCGGGGCCCACAGGUCCCAGCCUCCCUUUCCCCUGGGCCUCCAAACCCUCACAGCUGGCUCCCUGGGCCCACAGGUCCCGGCCUCCUCUUCCCCUGGGCCUCCAAACCCACAGUUUUGGCCCCCGGGCCCUCAGAUCUGGGCCUCCAAACCCACAGGUUUGGCCCCCGGCCCCUCAGAUGUGGGCCUCCCCUUCUCCUGGGCCUCCAAACCCUCAGAGCCGGCUCCCGGGGCCCACAGGUCCCGGCCUCCCCUUCUCCUGGGCCUCCAAACCCUCAGAGCCGGCUCCCGGGGCCCACAGGUCCUGACCUCCCCUUCCCCUUGGCCUCCAAACCCCCAUGAUUGGCCCCCGGCCCCUCAGAUCUGGGCCUCCCCUCCCCUGGGCCUCCAAACCCUCAGAGCCAGCUCCCGACGCCCACACGUCCCGGCCUCCCCUUCCCCUGGGCCUCCAAACCCACAGGUUUGGCCCCCGGGCCCUGAGAUCUGGACCUCCAAACCCACAGGUUUGGCCCCUGCGGCCUCAGAUCUGGGCCUCCAAACCCACAGGUUUGGCCCCCGGCCCCUCAGAUCUGGGCCUCCCCUUCCCCUGGGCCUCCAAACCCACAGGUUUGGCCCCCGGGCCCUCAGAUCUGGGCCUCCAAACUCACAGGUUUGUCCCCCGGCUCCUCAGAUGUGGGCCUCCCCUUCCCCUGGCCUUCCAAACCCUCAGAGCCGGCUCCCGGGGCCCACAGGUCCCAGCCUCCCCUUCCCCUGGGCCUCCAAACCCUCAGAGCCGGCUCCCAGGGCCCACAGGUCCCAGCCUCCCCCUCCCCUGGGCCUCCAAACCCACAGGCUUAGCCCCCGGGGACCUCAGAUCCGGGCCUCCCCUUCCCCUUGGCCUCCAAACCCUCAGAGCCGGCUCCCGGGGCCCACAGGUCCCAGCCUCCCCUUCCCCUUGGCCUGCAAACCCACAGUAUUGGCCUCCGGGCCCUCAGAGCCGGGCCUCCCCUUCCCCUGGGCCUCCAAACCCUCAGAGCUAGCUCCCGGGGCCCACAGGUCCCAGCCUCCCUUUCCCCUGGGCCUCCAAACCCUCAGAGCUGGCUCCCUGGGCCCACAGGUCCCGGCCUCCACUUCCCCUGGGCCUCCAAACCCACAGGUUUGGCCCCCGGGCCCUCAGAUCUGGGCCUCAAAACCCACAGGUUUGGCC
This 3219-nucleotide long non-coding RNA is filed under the name Ornithorhynchus anatinus (platypus). RNAcentral's name for it is "lncRNA (ENSOANG00000046028.1)". The record is from RNAcentral. Lineage: Eukaryota; Metazoa; Chordata; Mammalia; Monotremata; Ornithorhynchidae.